UACGUAGGUGGCAAGCGUUGUCCGGAUUUACUGGGCGUAAAGAGCUCGUAGGCGGUCUGUCACGUCGGCUGUGAAAACCCGAGGCUCAACCUCGGGCCUGCAGUCGAUACGGGCAGACUAGAGUUCGGUAGGGGAGACUGGAAUUCCUGGUGUAGCGGUGAAAUGCGCAGAUAUCAGGAGGAACACCGGUGGCGAAGGCGGCUUGCUGGGCAUUGUCUGACGCUGAGGCGCGAAAGCGUGGGGAGCGAACAGG
Molecule: ribosomal RNA, 253 nt
Filed under: uncultured bacterium
Lineage: Bacteria
Description: partial 16S ribosomal RNA
Rfam family: Bacterial small subunit ribosomal RNA
Source: RNAcentral